This 253-nucleotide ribosomal RNA is filed under the name uncultured bacterium. RNAcentral describes it as "partial 16S ribosomal RNA". It matches the Rfam family "Bacterial small subunit ribosomal RNA", at positions 524 to 776 of the family's 1533-position model. The record is from RNAcentral.
UACGAAGGGGGCUAGCGUUGUUCGGAAUCACUGGGCGUAAAGGGCGCGUAGGCGGCCGCUCAAGUCGGGGGUGAAAGCCUGUGGCUUAACCACAGAAUUGCCUUCGAUACUGUUUGGCUUGAGACCGGAAGAGGUGAGUGGAACUGCGAGUGUAGAGGUGAAAUUCGUAGAUAUUCGCAAGAACACCAGUGGCGAAGGCGGCUUCCUGGCCUGUUCUUGACGCUGAGGCGCGAAAGCGUGGGUAGCAAACAGG